RNAcentral lists this long non-coding RNA (1967 nucleotides) under Populus trichocarpa (black cottonwood). RNAcentral describes it as "long non-coding RNA (PTRI_LNC001579)". The record is from RNAcentral. Lineage: Eukaryota; Viridiplantae; Streptophyta; Magnoliopsida; Malpighiales; Salicaceae.
UUUUGUUCAGUUGCGAAGUUCACUAUUUUUGAUCAAUGAAUUAAUAUCUAAAAAUUAACUCUGCAGGGAUGUGAUGGUUCGGUAUUGCUUGAUGGAUCGGCGAGUGGUCCAAGCGAGCAGGACGCCCCUCCCAACCUGACCUUGAGAGCAAAGGCGUUUGAGAUCAUCGAAGACCUACGCCGGCGCGUGGAAAAGGCUUGCGGCCUUGUCGUCUCCUGUUCUGAUAUUCUUGCGCUUGCAGCCCGUGACUCUGUUUACCUGGUGAGUCGACUUGAAUCACUCUCUGUUAUCGUAGUUUUUGAUAAUGAUCCUAGCUAGCUAGCAUGGAGCACAUGAUUUAAUACCAUCUCCUGUAUCGUUAGAUACACAUCCGUAUAUAGUCCAGCCAUAUUCUUGAGAGUCGAGUCUAAAUCGAGAUUUUUUUUUUGAAAAAUAGCUUUUUUCCAUAUUUUUUUUUGAAAAAGUAGAGUAAUUGAUUUUUUUCCCCAAAAAAUAGCACACUUAAUAAAUUAAUUUGAAAACAAUGUAAUUAAUUAUCUUUCUUUAGGAAAUAUAGGAAUGAGAUUUGGGUUCAUUGAUUUUAAUAAUAUUAUUAAAAAUUAGCCUAGUUAUGGCUCUUGUUAGAUGUCAAGUAACUUAUUUUUAUAACAUAAAAAUAAUAUAUUGAGAAAUUAAACGUUCAGUAUAAAGCUUAGAUUUUUAAAAUAAAAUUGAAUUUUAAUUAUCCAAAUUUAUUAUGGUAUUUCAGGAAUAAGUGUUAAAUAAUUAAUUGCACAUGAAAUAAUUACAAAUAGAAGAUUACGAGUAAGUCAAGUCUUUCUGUCCCCCAUAUAAUAUAUGUCCUGCAACUAGGGGCAUAAAAUGUGACUGAUAAGACCAGAUAAGCUUAUCCAAUGUUAUUUUCAGAGCUUAGAUAUCCGCCUGUCGAUUUCUAUCCAGUUAGUUGAUCAGUGAUUGCGAGAGGCAAAUUAAUUCCUCAUAAUCUUUUAAAAUCCUAUUAAUUCUCGUUUGGUUCUGUAUUUUAAAAACAUUUUUAAAAUUUUUUUUUUUUUUUUAUUUUAAAUUAAUAUUUUUUUAGUAUUUUCCGUUUAUUUUGAUGGAUUGAUGUUAAAAAUAAUUUUUAACAAAUAAAAAUAAUAAUUUUUUAAUACUUUUUUAAGUGAAAAACAAUCAUACUCUCAAACACACUAAAUAUUAUAAUUAGUAGCGAUUGUUUAUUUAAAUAUUUUUUACUUAAAAAUAUAUUAAAAUAAUAUUUUUUUAAAUUUAUUUUGACUUUAAUAUUAAUAUAUUAAAAUAAUCUAAAAAUACUUAAAAAAAAAUACUCUUUCCCAGCAAAAUUAUUAUUAUGACUUUCUUGUGACUUGUCAUGAUCAUUAAACACAUAUAAAGGGUGUGUAUAUGCAUGCCUCCUUGAGUUCUGCUUUUUUAUUUUCAAAUUAAGUUUUAGAUAUUUUUAUGUUGAUAAUAAUUUUUUUAUUCUUUUUUUUUUUAAAAAAACAUUUUGUAUCACAUUCUCCGUGUGUGUGUAAUGAAUCAAUAAAAUUUCUUUCGGUAACAAGUCAUUACUCAUAACCAAAGCUAAUCCUUUUUAACUUCUAUGCAUUUUUUCUACUGCAGUCUGGUGGCCCAGAUUAUAAUGUUCCCUUGGGAAGGCGAGACGGUCUAAAAUUUGCAACUCAAAAUGAAACCUUAGACAACCUCCCGCCACCCUUUGCUAACGCCGACACAAUUCUCUCAUCUCUCGCCACCAAGGGCUUCGAUGCCACCGACGUGGUAGCCCUGUCCGGUGGCCACACCAUUGGUAUAAGUCACUGCAGCUCUUUCACUGACCGCCUCUAUCCAACCCAAGAUCCUACAAUGGACAAAACCUUUGCCAACAAUCUCAAGGAAGUUUGCCCCACAAGAGACUUCAAUAACACAACCGUGUUGGAUAUUCGAUCUCCUAAUAAAUUUGACAACAAGUA